RNAcentral lists this ribosomal RNA (253 nucleotides) under uncultured bacterium. RNAcentral's name for it is "partial 16S ribosomal RNA". It matches the Rfam family "Bacterial small subunit ribosomal RNA", at positions 524 to 776 of the family's 1533-position model. The record is from RNAcentral.
UACGUAGGGGGCUAGCGUUGUCCGGAAUCAUUGGGCGUAAAGCGCGCGUAGGCGGCCAGAUAAGUCCGGUGUGAAAGCCACAGGCUCAACCUGUGAAUGCCGCUGGAAACUGUCUGGCUAGAGUCCGGGAGGGGCGAGUGGAACUCCUGGUGUAGCGGUGAAAUGCGCAGAUAUCAGGAGGAACACCAAUGGCGAAGGCAGCUCGCUGGAACGGUACUGACGCUGAGGCGCGAAAGCGUGGGGAGCGAACAGG